CGCGGCCUAUCAGCUUGUUGGUGAGGUAACGGCUCACCAAGGCAUCGACGGGUAGCUGGUCUGAGAGGAUGAUCAGCCACACUGGGACUGAGACACGGCCCAGACUCCUACGGGAGGCAGCAGUAGGGAAUAUUGCACAAUGGGCGAAAGCCUGAUGCAGCAACGCCGCGUGCGGGAAGAAGGCCCUAGGGUUGUAGACCGCUUUCAGCAGGGAAGAAAAUGACGGUACCUGCAGAAGAAGGUGCGGCCAACUACGUGCCAGCAGCCGCGGUGACACGUAGGCACCAAGCGUUGUCCGGAUUUAUUGGGCGUAAAGAGCUCGUAGGCGGUUCAGUUAGUCGGGUGUGAAAACUCUGGGCUCAACCCAGAGACGCCACUCGAUACUGCUGUGACUAGAGUGCGGUAGGGGAGCGGGGAAUUCCUAGUGUAGCGGUGAAAUGCGCAGAUAUUAGGAGGAACACCAGUGGCGAAGGCGCCGCUCUGGGCCGUAACUGACGCUGAGGAGCGAAAGCGUGGGUAGCAAACAGGAUUAGAUACCCUGGUAGUCCACGCCGUAAACGUUGGGCACUAGGUGUGGGUCUCAACCAACGAGAUCCGCGCCGUCGCUAACGCAUUAAGUGCCCCGCCUGGGGAGUACGG
RNAcentral lists this ribosomal RNA (639 nucleotides) under uncultured Actinomycetes bacterium. RNAcentral describes it as "bacterial SSU rRNA". It matches the Rfam family "Bacterial small subunit ribosomal RNA", at positions 232 to 885 of the family's 1533-position model. The record is from RNAcentral. Lineage: Bacteria; Bacillati; Actinomycetota; Actinomycetes.